RNAcentral lists this ribosomal RNA (497 nucleotides) under uncultured bacterium. RNAcentral's name for it is "partial 16S ribosomal RNA". It matches the Rfam family "Bacterial small subunit ribosomal RNA", at positions 28 to 507 of the family's 1533-position model. The record is from RNAcentral.
GAUGAACGCUGGCGGCGUGCCUAAUACAUGCAAGUCGAGCGAACAGAUAAGGAGCUUGCUCCUUUGACGUUAGCGGCGGACGGGGGAGUAACACGUGGGUAACCUACCUAUAAGACUGGAAUAACUCCGGGAAACCGGGGCUAAUGCCGGAUAACAUUUAGAACCGCAUGGUUCUAAAGUGAAAGAUGGUUUUGCUAUCACUUAUAGAUGGACCCGCGCCGUAUUAGCUAGUUGGUAAGGUAACGGCUUACCAAGGCAACGAUACGUAGCCGACCUGAGAGGGUGAUCGGCCACACUGGAACUGAGACACGGUCCAGACUCCUACGGGAGGCAGCAGUAGGGAAUCUUCCGCAAUGGGCGAAAGCCUGACGGAGCAACGCCGCGUGGGUGAUGAAGGUCUUCGGAUCGUAAAACUCUGUUAUUAGGGAAGAACAAAUGUGUAAGUAACUGUGCACGUCUUGACGGUACCUAAUCAGAAAGCCACGGCUAACUACGUG